RNAcentral lists this long non-coding RNA (727 nucleotides) under Fukomys damarensis (Damara mole-rat). RNAcentral describes it as "lncRNA (ENSFDAG00000033044.1)". Lineage: Eukaryota; Metazoa; Chordata; Mammalia; Rodentia; Bathyergidae. The record is from RNAcentral.
UUCAUGGUCAGCCUCCGUGCCUCGUCUCCUGAGGGCUGAGCUCUCAGCUGCCAGCUUCCGUCUCUGAAGCUGUGUCCAUCCAUUCAGCUCCCCUCAGCAGCCAGAUGGAGGCCCUCGCGUCUUCCCGCUACUGGUCCUGUGGAGGACAACGCAUGGGAGACCUGAGAGGCAGCCAUGACGAAGGAGGCGGGCUGAGGACCAAGGCAGCGGGGCUGGACCCAGAACACGGCCAGGCGCGGGCUGAGCGUAACGCAGCACUGAGCGGCGGGCUGGGCCCAGGUUUGCCUCCACGCUUCCGGCAGCCAGAGCAGAAGGUGCGGGCAGCUCCCGCGUCCCUGCUUGCUUGUUGAGCAGAAGGGCCGGAAGCUCAGCCUGCCGGGGUGACCCUCGGGGUGACCCUCGGGGUGUCGCCGGUGCCCACGUUCCCGAGUGGCUCCUCUCGUAGCUUUUACCCUCCACACGCAGAGCCCAGCUCUCUAGAAUCCUCUUGCUCCCAUUUGGCAACAAAUCAAUCCCACUUCUAGGAGAGCAAAGCUUUAAUCUCUUGUAAGGAAAGGGGCGAGUCUUUCUGACGGUGCGGGCAUUGGGACUGACGUCGGACUGGCCUGUUGGGGAGCCGAAGCCUCAGGACUCAGCCCCCGCUUUGCACACCUGACCGUAGCCAGUCCAGUGUCUCGCUCACAGCAUCCGGCAAGCAGAUACAGAUUGUGCCGGACAGAUACGAACG